AAGUCGUAACAAGGUUUCCGUAGGUGAACCUGCGGAAGGAUCAUUAACAGAUUUCCGAAAGGAAUAUCUAAUUAUGUGUGAACUGUAUUGUCUUGGCUGGAAAUCUUUUUGACUCAUGGUCAUUGGGAUGGUCAGUCGGGACAAACCAACAAUCUAUAUACCAAUUGACUGAAUAUAAAAACAAACCUAGAAAACUUUUAGCAAUGGAUCUCUAGGCUCUU
This 221-nucleotide unclassified non-coding RNA is filed under the name fungal sp. Its description in RNAcentral is "partial internal transcribed spacer region". The stretch from base 1 to 46 matches the Rfam family "Eukaryotic small subunit ribosomal RNA", at positions 1786 to 1831 of the family's 1831-position model. The record is from RNAcentral. Lineage: Eukaryota; Fungi.